GGACACUGUGGGUACAGCUCGUAGUUGGAUUUCUGCCAGGACGACCGACCCACCUUCGGGUGCGUGUCGGUGUUGACUGAGGCAUUCUCCGUUUCUCUCAUGCUUAACUGUGUGAGCUGGAUCGGACUUUUACUUUGAGGAAAUUAGAGUGUUUCAAGCAGGCAUUUGCCUUGAAUACAUUAGCAUGGAAUAAUAAGAUAGGACUUCGGUUCUAUUUUGUUGGUUUCUAGAACUGAAGUAAUGAUUAAUAGGGACAGUCGGGGGCAUUCGUACUCAACAGUCAGAGGUGAAAUUCUUGGAUUUGUUUGGAGACGAACUACUGCGAAAGCAUUU
This 333-nucleotide ribosomal RNA is filed under the name uncultured eukaryote. RNAcentral describes it as "bacterial SSU rRNA". It matches the Rfam family "Eukaryotic small subunit ribosomal RNA", at positions 625 to 956 of the family's 1831-position model. The record is from RNAcentral.